GAUGAACGCUGGCGGCGUGCCUAAUACAUGCAAGUCGAGCGAACAGACGAGGAGCUUGCUCCUUUGACGUUAGCGGCGGACGGGUGAGUAACACGUGGAUAACCUACCUAUAAGACUGGGAUAACUUCGGGAAACCGGAGCUAAUACCGGAUAACAUGUUGAACCGCAUGGUUCAACAGUGAAAGACGGUUUUGCUGCCACUUAUAGAUGGAUCCGCGCCGCAUUAGCUAGUUGGUAAGGUAACGGCUUACCAAGGCAACGAUGCGUAGCCGACCUGAGAGGGUGGUCGGCCACACUGGAACAGAGACACGGUACAGACUCCUACGGGAGGCAGCAGUAGGGAAUCUUCCGCAAUGGGCGAAAGCCUGACGGAGCAACGCCGCGUGAGUGAAGAAGGUCUUCGGAUCGUAAAACUCUGUUAUUAGGGAAGAACAAAUGUGUAAGUAACUAUGCACGUCUUGACGGUACCUAAUCAGAAAGCCACGGCUAACUACGUG
This 497-nucleotide ribosomal RNA is filed under the name uncultured bacterium. Its description in RNAcentral is "partial 16S ribosomal RNA". It matches the Rfam family "Bacterial small subunit ribosomal RNA", at positions 28 to 507 of the family's 1533-position model. The record is from RNAcentral.